CUUGCUAAGUUUGAUGGCGACCGGCGCACGGGUGAGUAACACGUAUCCAACCCGCCGAUGACUCGGGGAUAGCCUUUCGAAAGAAAGAUUAAUACCCGAUGGCAUAGUUCUUCCGCAUGGUGGAACUAUUAAAGAAUUUCGGUCAUCGAUGGGGAUGCGUUCCAUUAGGUUGUUGGCGGGGUAACGGCCCACCAAGCCUUCGAUGGAUAGGGGUUCUGAGAGGAAGGUCCCCCACAUUGGAACUGAGACACGGUCCAAACUCCUACGGGAGGCAGCAUG
RNAcentral lists this ribosomal RNA (279 nucleotides) under uncultured bacterium. Its description in RNAcentral is "partial 16S ribosomal RNA". It matches the Rfam family "Bacterial small subunit ribosomal RNA", at positions 76 to 353 of the family's 1533-position model. The record is from RNAcentral.